This 192-nucleotide ribosomal RNA is filed under the name Longidorus kuiperi. RNAcentral's name for it is "partial 18S ribosomal RNA". It matches the Rfam family "Eukaryotic small subunit ribosomal RNA", at positions 1641 to 1831 of the family's 1831-position model. Lineage: Eukaryota; Metazoa; Nematoda; Enoplea; Dorylaimida; Longidoridae. The record is from RNAcentral.
UUGAUUACGUCCCUGCCCUUUGUACACACCGCCCGUCGCUACUACCGAUUGGAUGACUUGGUGAGGUCUUAGGACUGGGGUAAUGGAGCUUUAUUAGUUCUUUUGCUCUGGAAAUUUGAUCGAACUACGUUAUCUAGAGGAAGUAAAAGUCGUAACAAGGUUUCCGUAGGUGAACCUGCGGAAGGAUCAUUA